Molecule: long non-coding RNA, 1544 nt
Organism: Oncorhynchus tshawytscha (Chinook salmon)
Lineage: Eukaryota; Metazoa; Chordata; Actinopteri; Salmoniformes; Salmonidae
Source: Ensembl
UGCAGCAGGUCACCGGUUUAUGCAAAAUGUGAAUCAACCCCAUCCAUAUCCUAUCCCAAAUGGCACCCUAGUCCCUAUGUAGUGCACUACUUUUGACCAGGGCCCAUAGGGUGCCGUUUGGGAUGUUGGAGUCUAUAUCUCAACUCAACUGUAUCAGUCUCCGGGUCAGAGAGGGAAAGGGUUUUGUCUGUCCUGUAUCUGGUUUGAUUGAAAAAGUUUGUUCUGAGCCCUGUUGUGUUUACAUUGUACGUAGUGCUACAGAGUCCUAUAUCAAAAACAAAGUGAGGAAGAUUGACAAGCAGCACGAGUAUCUAUGACUUGAAUGCAUUUAUCUUCAGUUUGAUAAAAAGAAAAGUUUAUUUUGACCCCGUCAUGUAUAUAUUCAUGAAUAAUUAUUAUUAUUGGGUGUUUUACAAUGGGUCCCAGAUGUAUAACCCAUAUGCUUAUUUGGCCGCUCUCAUUGCAUUAUUCUCCACCAUUUUUAAUGUGCGUCUGAAAUGGCACAGUAUUCCCUAUAUAGUGCACUACUUUUGACCAGAGCAAUAGGGCUGGUCAAAAGCAGUGCACUAUAAAUGGAAUAGGGUGCCAUUUUGGACAAGUGCUCAUCCCUCCUUUUUAUGAUGCUGAUAUUUCUUGAAGGGAAACAUGUCUGGAGAAGUUCACCUGUCUGUUCUUUAUGAUGAUUAACUGGACAUGAUCUAAACAACAAAACAGAAGGAAAACAGUCAGGGUUGAUUACAAAGGGGGAGAAAAUGGGCUCUAAAAGUAGUUUGCCUCCAGAUAUUUUUUAAAACAGUUUGUUGUAUAAUAUUCCAGCUGUACUCUGCCUGCAAAGGCAUUUUACUACAAUAAAGUGCAUUCAUUCUGAGGUUAACUGUCAUAACCCACCUUUCCUUCUCGUGGUGUCUUUAAACUGAAAGGAAGUGUAAAGGUUACAACAUAAAAAUGGAAUGUAUUGAUCUUUACUGAAUAUUCAGGGAUAUAGACUAAAUGUAUACUAAGGGUCUCCAGCCUUAAAUGUCACCCAUUUCUAUUAUUUAUCACAUCUUGUUGUCAUUGACAUACGUCAAUGUUGUUCACAACUUAAGGUCUAUACUGUAGAGCUAGUAGGCUUGCCUUUCAUUGGGGCGAGGGGUAUUGUUUGGGUCCAGGUGUGUUGGGGAAAGAGCACAGACACGCACAACAGAUUUAUAAAAGCAAAAUAAAUGUAUUCCUUGCUGUGUGAGAAAUUACUUCCUAGAAGUUGAUAUUAAUCAUCUCAAACAUUUGAGGGAAAUUUCCCCCUUUUGUCAACUUUAUAAUUUAAUACCAAAAUGGCAGUCCUCCGACAAAGGGUCUGGAUUGUCCACUUGAAAAGGCAAAUUGCGAUGAGUAGGCAAUGUAUCAAUGGGUGCUAAUAUGAACAUUGGCAUGGAAUUGUCUCAUGUCAGUGCCUCCUGAAAUGGUGUGUUUACAUGCUCUUUCGUUUCUUUCUUCAUUCGGUGACCUUUUGAAUUCACAACAGACAGUAGGGGAUGAAUAAGACUUGGCAAUAAAAUGCAUGA